This 693-nucleotide ribosomal RNA is filed under the name uncultured Staphylococcus sp. RNAcentral describes it as "bacterial SSU rRNA". It matches the Rfam family "Bacterial small subunit ribosomal RNA", at positions 59 to 734 of the family's 1533-position model. The record is from RNAcentral. Lineage: Bacteria; Bacillati; Bacillota; Bacilli; Caryophanales; Staphylococcaceae.
AAGUCGAGCGAACGGACGAGAAGCUUGCUUCUCUGAUGUUAGCGGCGGACGGGUGAGUAACACGUGGAUAACCUACCUAUAAGACUGGGAUAACUUCGGGAAACCGGAGCUAAUACCGGAUAAUAUUUUGAACCGCAUGGUUCGAAAGUAAAAGACGGUCUUGCUGUCACUUAUAGAUGGAUCCGCGCUGCAUUAGCUAGUUGGUAAGGUAACGGCUUACCAAGGCAACGAUGCAUAGCCGACCUGAGAGGGUGAUCGGCCACACUGGAACUGAGACACGGUCCAGACUCCUACGGGAGGCAGCAGUAGGGAAUCUUCCGCAAUGGGCGAAAGCCUGACGGAGCAACGCCGCGCGAGUGAUGAAGGUCUUCGGAUCGUAAAACUCUGUUAUUAGGGAAGAACAUAUGUGUAAGUAACUGUGCACAUCUUGACGGUACCUAAUCAGAAAGCCACGGCUAACUACGUGCCAGCAGCCGCGGUAAUACGUAGGUGGCAAGCGUUAUCCGGAAUUAUUGGGCGUAAAGCGCGCGUAGGCGGUUUUUUAAGUCUGAUGUGAAAGCCCACGGCUCAACCGUGGAGGGUCAUUGGAAACUGGAAUACUUGAGUGCAGAAGAGGAAAGUGGAAUUCCAUGUGUAGCGGUGAAAUGCGCAGAGAUAUGGAGGUACACCAGUGGCGAAGGCGACUUUCUGGUC